RNAcentral lists this ribosomal RNA (253 nucleotides) under uncultured bacterium. Its description in RNAcentral is "partial 16S ribosomal RNA". It matches the Rfam family "Bacterial small subunit ribosomal RNA", at positions 524 to 776 of the family's 1533-position model. The record is from RNAcentral.
UACAGAGGUGCCAAGCGUUGUUCGGAUUUAUUGGGCGUAAAGCGUGCGCAGGCGGUUUUAUAAGCCAGAUGUGAAAUCCCCGGGCUUAACCUGGGAAUGGCAUUUGGGACUGUAAGGCUAGAGUACGGCAGAGGGGACUAGAAUUCCUGGUGUAGCAGUGAAAUGCGUAGAUAUCAGGAGGAAUACCGAUGGCGAAGGCAGGUCCCUGGGUCGAUACUGACGCUCAUGCACGAAAGCGUGGGGAGCAAACAGG